GGUAAGAGAGGGGCGGCGUGCGCGGUAGGCCACAGGGUGGAAAGGUGGUUGGGAGUUACUGGGCGUAAAGCGCGUGUGGGCUGGUCGGAAAGACGGAGGUGAAAGGACUGGGCUAAACCUAGGAAGUGCAUUCGAAGCUUCCGAGCUCGUGUCCUGGAGAGGAAGGCGGAAUUCUCGGUGUAGAGGUGAAAUUCGUAGAUAUCGAGAGGAACACCGGUGGCGAAGGCGGCCUUCUGGACAGCGACUGACGCUGAGACGCGAAAGCGUGGGGAGCAAACAGGAUUAGAUACCCCGGUCGUC
RNAcentral lists this ribosomal RNA (300 nucleotides) under uncultured Devosia sp. RNAcentral describes it as "bacterial SSU rRNA". The stretch from base 52 to 300 matches the Rfam family "Bacterial small subunit ribosomal RNA", at positions 547 to 795 of the family's 1533-position model. Lineage: Bacteria; Pseudomonadati; Pseudomonadota; Alphaproteobacteria; Hyphomicrobiales; Devosiaceae. The record is from RNAcentral.